AUGGACGCCGACGACAUGGACGUCGACGAGAUCGACUCCCCCGCCUCCGCCUCCGCCUCCGGCUCCCUCUCCGCCUUCCUCUCCGAGCUCGCCGCCCUCCACCGCCGCGCCUCUUCCUCCUCCACAUCCACCUCCCCGCCCUUGUCCCUCCCUUCCCUCACCCUCCUCUCCUCCCCGGCCACCGCCGCCUCCCUCUUCCCCCGCCUCGCGNNNNNNNNNNNNNNNNNNNNNNNNNNNNNNNNNNNNNNNNNNNNNNNNNNNNNNNNNNNNNNNNNNNNNNNNNNNNNNNACCUCCGCCUCCUGCUAGCCCCGGCCUCCCCCCUUGCCUCCCUCUUCUCCCCGCUCCCCUUCCUCUCCUUCCUCCUCGCCCUCCGCAAGGCCGCCACCGACACCCAUAACCCUAGCGCCGCCUCCGACUCCGGCCCCCGCAAGCGCAAGAACCAGCGCCACCAAGCGGCCACGCGGUCCCCGUCUUUCCUUCCGCAGGCACUCUCCCUGCUCGCCGAUGCCGCGGGGAGGCUGCCGCUCGGGGAGUACCCUGAUGCGCUGAGGUCGCUCAUCGACACCGCCGCCGAGCUCGCGGCCUUCAAUGUCCUUGCCGCCGUCCUUGGAUCUCGCUACCACGCCGAGGCGGUGCAGGAUGUGAUACGCGCGCUGGUACCACUGGUGCUCUCGGGUGCGAAAUCGGCUGUGCGGUCGUCCGCGGUCGAGUUCUUGGUCAGAAAGAUUGUGCCUUUGGGUGCUGAUGAGGAAGGGGAGGAGGAGGGGAUAAGGAAGUUGGUGGGCUACCUGCCGAGGCUUUUGGCGGUGAAGGCACCGGAGAAGUCGGAGGCGAGGGGGCUGGCCGUUGAGGCCAUAGUUGAGGUGGUGCAGGCAAUGGAGCCACUUCAAAGGGAGGGCUUCACUGCAUAUCUGGUGGCCAUGUCCAGGGGCAAAGCAAAGGGACGGCUGUUUGCUGUGGAUAUGGUCCUGGCAAUGCUGCCGGUGCUGUUGCCUUCGGAAAUCGAUGAAUCUGGUCUCCAGGAGGGCUCUUGGGGGCUCAAGUGUGUCCAGGUGUUGGUGGAGAGGUGUUCAGACAGCGCUGGAGCCGUCCGUGCUCGGGCCUUGACGAAUGCAGCCCAUGCGCUUGAUGUUUUGUCUGAAAGAGGCGUGGAGGUCGAUCGAUUGCAGGAGGUGAUGAAGAUAGGGAACAUGGGUCUUGGAGAGUUGUUGAGGAGAAGGUGCAUUGAUGAUAAGGCUGCUGUGAGGAAAGCUUCACUUGUGCUCAUCACCAAGGCAAUUGGUUUGAUUGGCAGGCCUGUCGAUGAGUCGCUACUUACUGCAAUGGGGGCUGCAUGCUCUGAUCCGCUAGUCACCAUUCGCAAGGCGGCUCUUGCAGCCAUCUCAGAGGUGUUCCGGAAAUUCCCAGAUGAGAGUGUGACAAAGGAGUGGCUUCAGGCUGUGCCAUCACUGAUGAUUGAUAGUGAGACCAGUAUCCAGGAGGAAUGUGAGAACUUGUUUCUUGAACUGGUUCUGAACAGGGUCUGCCAAGCUGCCAAUUUGAAACUGGAUGAUGAUUCAGUCAACUUGGAGGAGCUGUUCCCGGACGGGACACUGGAUUUGCUGAAAAGCAUAUGUGAUGGAGAGGUUGUUCCCUGCAUAAAAAGGAUAUGUGCAAGCCUUGGGAGGAAGAAAAAGCUGAGACCACUGCUUGCUAGUUCACUCCAGAAUAUAAUAACAAUAUCUGAAACCUUGUGGUUGAGAAGUUCUAAGCCAAUUGAGAAUUGGACUGCACCAGCUGGGGCUUGGUGGCUUCUUUCCGAGGUCUCCUCAUUUGCGCCUAAAUCAGUUAACUGGAAGUUCCUCUCUCACCACUGGAAACUCCUUGAUAAUGUUGGCCAAGAAGGCAAAGGCAAAGGUAAAGCUUCUUCUGAAGGGGAACCAAACUCUGCGCUCUGGGCUGUGGAUCGUGUUUCACUCCUGCAAACUAUUUCAAAUGUCUCCAUGGAGCUACCUGUGGAGCCUGCAGCAGAACUGGCACACAGCUUACUCACGCGGAUUGAAAAUUUUGAUAUGAACCUGAGUGAGGUCGAUGCCCAUGUAAAGUCACUGAAAACUUUAUGUAAACGGAAAGCGAAAACGGCAAAGGAAGCUGAAGCACUAAUAAUGAAGUGGGUUCAGCAACUUAUCAAUAAAGCAGUUGAUAGUUUACAAAGCUACAUAAAAGGAACAUCACAAGAUUCCAGGGGUUGUAGCUACAAUACUCCUCUGACUGGCAAACUUAAGGGAAGAAAGGAGGCAUCCACAUCAAAGGAGAUGUCAGAAGCUGUUAUUGCUGUCUUCACCGUUGGAUCAGUGAUCCUAGCUUGCCCUGAUGCUAGUGUGCAAGGCAUCAUUCCUUUGCUGCACACAGUCAUAACCUCUGGAAACCCCGAGCCAAGACCAACAAUGCUUGCAGGUGGAGCCGUUUCUUUCAAUGAGGUAGCUCCAUCAUUAUAUAUACAGUCGUGGGAUACAAUGGCAAAAAUAUGCCUUGUAGAUGACAAACUAGCAAAACGAUAUAUUCCGCUCUUUGUUCAGGAGCUUGAGCGGAGUGAUUUGGCCACCCUCCGGAAUAAUAUCAUGAUAGCAAUGGCUGACUUUUAUGUACGCUAUACAGCACUAGUUGACUGUUAUAUGUCAAAAAUAACAAAAGUGCUGCGUGAUCCCUGUGAAGUAGUACGGAGGCAAACGUUUGUCCUACUCGCAAAGUUGUUGCAGAGGGAUUACGUAAAAUGGAGAGGAGUGCUUUUCCUUCGGUUUCUGCCAUCUUUAGUUGACGAAUCGGAUAAGAUAAGGCAUUUGGCUGACUACCUAUUUGGAAGCAUCUUAAAAGCCAAAGCGCCACUUCUUGCAUAUAACAGUUUCAUAGAAGCUAUCUACGUCCUAAACAAUUGCACAGGACAUGGUGGAUAUAGUGAGUCUCAGUCUCAGAGUUCUCAAGGGUCCCAAAGUUCAGACAGAGGACAAGCCCUUUUUGCGAUAUGGGGAACUGACGAAAGGUCAAGGUCAAAACGAAUGCACAUAUAUGUGUCCUUGUUGAAACAAAUGGCCCCGGAGCACCUUCUAGCUACAUCAGCCAAGUUAUGUGCUGAGAUCUUAGCAGGUGUUUGUGAUGGCUUGCUAAGUGUUGACGAUGCAGCUGGAAGGGCUGUAGUUCAGGAUGCUCUACAAAUACUAGCUUGCAAGGAGAUGCGCAUCCAUCCCAGCAUCCUUGCGGACAAUUCCGAGAUGGAUGAUGAUGGUGUAGAUGGCGGGACGGCCAACGCCCUCCAGGCGGCCAAAGGGCGGGCGGUGACCCAGGUGGCAAAGAAGAACCUGAUUCAGAUCGCAAUCCCGAUAUUCAUCGAGCUGAAGCGGCUGCUGGAGAGCAAGAACAGCCCUCUGACGGGGUGCCUGAUGGAGUGCUUGCGCGCCCUGCUCAAGGACUACAAGAACGAGUUCGAUGAGAUACUGGUGGCGGACAAGCAGCUUCAGAAGGAGCUCCUCUACGACAUGCAGAAGUUUGAGGCCGGCAAGGGCAAGUCGUCCAGGGAAGAAGAGGCCGCGGGCCCCAGCGGGAGCUCUCCGGCUGCUCCUGAUCCGAGUGAUGCGGCAACGAAGGCCACGGUGCGGUCGGUGCUCAAGGAGAUGAACCGGAACGUGCCGACACCACCGCUGCACACCAUGAGCGUACCCAAGGUGAAGUCGGUGCUGGGCACUGGAGCGCUGAGUGGCUCGCGCCGUCCAGCUAUCCUAGAAUCAGUCAGGCGGCUCGAGCCAUUUGGGUCAGACGAUGAGAAUUAG
This 3804-nucleotide ribosomal RNA is filed under the name Triticum aestivum (bread wheat). Its description in RNAcentral is "partial small subunit ribosomal RNA". Lineage: Eukaryota; Viridiplantae; Streptophyta; Magnoliopsida; Poales; Poaceae. The record is from RNAcentral.